Long non-coding RNA from Oncorhynchus gorbuscha (pink salmon), 1644 nucleotides. RefSeq lists it as uncharacterized. The transcript has 3 exons. NCBI's taxonomy places the organism in Eukaryota, Metazoa, Chordata, Actinopteri, Salmoniformes, Salmonidae. The record is from RefSeq and is a predicted model, not a curated record.
AAUGUGUUUCUUUCAUGUGCAAACUUCAAAGAAAAUACAUGUCAAUCAUUUGGAAAUCACUGUUUGGUGGAAUUCUAUAAUGUACUGUCCAGUUAAUUUGUUUGACCUUUUGAGUUCGUGUAAAUUGCAGUAACCUGGUUUUGUUUAGCCAAUGAGAAGCUUUGCUAAGUUUUGGGGAAAAUUGUGUGAACUCUGGGUUUACUUUGCACAGGACUUUUGGGGCUCUCAGGCUCGUGAUGCUGCUCGAGAUGGAAGGAGAAGAGAGACAACACUGUUGUUGAGUUUACACUUUUACAUCUGUGAACAUACAACACUGUUGCUUAAUCUUGCUGCUUGAGUAACAUUGGGUUCCCAUUCAUUGCUGAGUCAUUCGUCUUAGUUGCGCUCCCAACACGUGCCGACGUUAGUUCGCAAGACUGAGUUUUAAGAGUACACAAGGUUUGAUUUGUAUUACUUUAAAUUGCGACUGUGUUAUGUUAGAGAUCACUAUACUAUUAAUACAUUUUUAGUCAAAUUGCAUUCCAUGUGUUGUGUUUUCCAUAAGUCAUUGUUAUUGCAUGGGCUGGGAGAACAGUCUGAAAACAGUAACCUAAGCCUUUAUAUAUCUAUUAGUAAUAUCCCUCUCGUUUUUCCUAGAGUGAAUCAAUAUCAUUCAAGUUCAUUUACUGAGAUGUAGGGCCGUGAUGGUCAUGAAAUUUUGGACGGUGGUAAUUGGCCAUCCAAAUGACUGCGGUCUACGUAAUAACCGUUGGCAUAGCAAAACGACGGUCUUCAUCCAUAAACAUUGGUUACACAGAUAUACGGUGAUUGUGUCAGCCCUACUGAGAUGUAAUUUUCACCAUUAUUCCCAUGCUGGUUCACCCGAGCCUUGUGGUGAGGGGGCUACACACACAAAUGCACACACACACACGCACACACACAGGCAUGCAUGUUCACACACACAGUAUACACAAAACCUAGCAUACACUAUCACGCCUAUAACACCUGAUGGAAAUGCCACUCUUGAUCUCCCUAUCUGGUGGAAAUAAAUUAAGAAAAACAUCCCCAGUGCAAGGGUCCUGAUAAGGACCGCUCCCUCCCUCUAUGGGCAACCUGUUGCCUGUCGGCAUUUCCCAGUCACAGACAGAUCUGCACGGAUAAAAACCUCUUCAUGUUCUCACACACAGACACGCACGGCUCAGGAAUGUUCCAACCAGCAUUUCUGAGAAAACGUGUGGAUUUUGGGAAAGAUACAGUAGUGGGUAGUGCAUGCGGCCAAGCUCCCUGCCAUCCAGGACCUCUAUACCAGAUGGGGUCAGAGGAAGGCCCUCAACAUUUUCAAAGACUCCAGCCACCCAAGUCAAGUCAUAGACUGUUUUCUAAGUUACAGCACAGCAAGAGGUACUGGAGUGCCAGAUCUGAGCUAAUGUUAGCUGGCCAACAUUAAACAUAGCUUGCUAACUAAUGUUAGUUAUUUGGUAUCCAUGCCAGCUAACGUUAUGAAUCAUAUCUCAUUUUGUCAGAAAUUCAUUUGCAUUGUGUCUCGCCUUGGUCAUUGUAUUUUGUGUUUUCGUUAUAUAUUUGGUCAGGCCAGGGUGUGACAUGGGUUUAUGUUAUUGUAUUCUCGUAUUGGGGUUUGUAGUAUUUGGGAUCGCGGCUGAUUAG